AUUGAACGCUGGCGGCAGGCCUAACACAUGCAAGUCGAGCGCGAAAGGCCUUCGGGCUGAGUAGAGCGGCGGACGGGUGAGUAACGCGUAGGAAUCUACCUGGUAGUGGGGGACAACUUGGGGAAACUCAAGCUAAUACCGCAUACGCCCUAAGGGGGAAAGCGGGGGACCUUCGGGCCUCGCGCUAUCAGAUGAGCCUGCGUAGGAUUAGCUAGUUGGUGAGGUAAAGGCUCACCAAGGCGACGAUCCUUAGCUGGUCUGAGAGGAUGAUCAGCCACACUGGGACUGAGACACGGCCCAGACUCCUACGGGAGGCAGCAGUGGGGAAUAUUGCGCAAUGGGGGCAACCCUGACGCAGCCAUGCCGCGUGUGUGAAGAAGGCCUUCGGGUUGUAAAGCACUUUCAAUGGGGAAGAAAAGCGUAGCGUUAAUAGCGUUGCGCCGUGACGUUACCCAUAGAAGAAGCACCGGCUAACUCCGUGCCAGCCGCCGCAGUAA
This 497-nucleotide ribosomal RNA is filed under the name uncultured bacterium. RNAcentral describes it as "partial 16S ribosomal RNA". It matches the Rfam family "Bacterial small subunit ribosomal RNA", at positions 29 to 523 of the family's 1533-position model. The record is from RNAcentral.